This 68-nucleotide transfer RNA is filed under the name Cyrtonotula longialata. RNAcentral's name for it is "tRNA-Arg". The record is from RNAcentral. Lineage: Eukaryota; Metazoa; Arthropoda; Insecta; Blattodea; Blaberidae.
GAAUAUGAAGCAAUUUUUUUUGCAAUUAGUUUCGACCUAAUUUUAUGAUAUUAAUUUAUCCUUAUUCU